UCAAGACAUUCCUGUUGCUGUGAUUGCUAGUAACAGGCCACAUUAUCUUUAUCGUGGCUUACGGUCAAUGUUGUCAGCUCAUGGAGCAAAGAAGGAGUUAUUUACUGUAUUUAUUGAUGGAUUCUUUGAAGAACCAGCUGCUGUGGCAAGGCUAUAUGAUGUAAAAGUCGUACAGCAUAUUCCUAUUAGCAGUAAGAACGCUAGAAUAUCACAGCAUUACAAGCGAACAUUGACAGAGACGUUUAAUGCUUAUCCCAAUGCUGGGUAUAUGAUUAUUUUGGAAGAAGAUUUAGACGUAUCUGUGGACAUAUUUAGUUAUUUUAAUCAAUUUUGCCUUUAAUGGAUACAGAUGAAAGUCUGUACUGUAUAUCGGCGUGGAAUGAUCAGGUUGGCAGAGCCGUUGGAUCACAGUAAAAUCCUUGCAAGAACGAGAAAGACUUUGUUCCAGAAACAUCUGAUAAAACAUAUAUAUUUUAUAUUGAAAUGAAACAUGCUAACGACUGGACAACAUGGAAUAAUAUAGCGAGAUGUUUACGAAUCUGGGACUUAGAUGCUCGAGGAUUUCAUAAAAGCAUGUGGAGAUUAUGGUUAAAGGGUAAUCACGUGUUAAUUGUUGGAUCACCGGCUUCACCUUACGCCAAACAUAAACCAAUUAACUUAAAACCUAUUUUCAUUCCUAAAAAAAUCGGAGACUGCGUGAUCAUCUUUGAUUAGAGAUAUCAUUCGUUUAUCAUGCGGGAUUUAAGCUAAAUGAAUGUGGGGAAAUCUUGAAGUUUAAAAAACUUUAAUGUAAAUGUGAUUGGAAAAAUUUUCAUCAUGGUUUGAUCAAGGAAAUGAACUCGUUGAACAAGGAAUAUAAGAGGAAAAAGAUAACUUUCAAUUUGUUCAGUUUUACUGUUAAUAAUGUAAUUUUAAGGAUUACAACCACGGAAAAGAAACAAUCGCGCUUUUCCCACAAAACAUUUACCGCAUUUGAAAGUCCUGCUAUCGUUACAUCGCUAAAGAUAAUUAUUUGAAAACGAACUUACCUCUCAUUCUUUCCCUUUGUCCCAUCCUAUUAGGAUUGCUAAAAUGAAUCACUUGCUACCAUUUAGUUCUGUCAAUAAAAUUCUCUCGUUAAAUUAUUACAUUACAUUUUACAAUGGCAAGUCAUAUUAUUGCAAUAAGCAGGGCUCCAAUGUUCAUAAUAAGUAUUGAGCACGACAAAAGCUUUUCUAUAACAUGUGGGUGAUUCCCACGUGAAUAAAUUACAAGCUUUUGAUAUGCCUUCUAAUUUAUUUGUUGACGUAACAAGUUGAAUAAAGGUGGUCAGGUGGGAGAAAAAUGAUAACUCUCCUAGCUAUGGUGCAUUGAAUUGCGGUUUUGGGUGAGAUAAUUUUUUGUUCAUACUAGAUAAAAUUUACCACAACACGACAUGCUCUGUCUGCCGUCAUAACCUUACAAUCAUUGAUUUCGCAAACUCUUCAUUGAGGAAACAAAAGAAGUAUUCUUUUGUUUUCUCCAAACCUCUGGGGAAAAGGCUUUGCUUUCUUUUACUAACCAAUGUCGUUAGUUAACUUAUAACCAGGCUUAAUUCCUUUUGUCUUUGCCCUGCAUAUAUUUUCAUGCAAUCAAUGAAUUUAAUCCCUUUUUAUCAUGGUUUGAACAAAAUUGACGAAUGAAUUAAUAAUUAAUUCAUGUGAUAUAUGAAAGUUAUCAGAAGAAAAAGUAGGGUCUUUCACUUCGAUAACCCUAUUUGACCGAGCUGUUCGUCUGGGAAAGGUGAAAGUCUGUUGGAAGUCGAAGACAGCCUUCAAGAAAUGCGACUAAUUGUUGGAAAGGACGAGCAACUGAAGACAUGACACGGUUGAGAUAUUUUAGCCAUGUUUGAAAGCGGCAGGUUAAAUACAGAAAAAUCGUCGAUGACAUAAAGAUCAUAUUCAAAGCAUCGUUAUGAGUCCUAUUUGUUCGAAGGAAUGAUCGAUUUCUUUGGUUUCUUAGUAUUUCUAUGUUUCGAUCUUGGAGCACAAAAAUGCCGUCAAGUUUCAGUUACAUAUUGAAGUGAGAACACGAACGAAACUGCCAAAAGUUUCCCACUAUUCUUGACAUCAAUUAUUGGACCUCUUCAAUACAUGUCCAGAAAAUAUUUUCA
Xenia sp. Carnegie-2017 is the source of this 2131-nucleotide long non-coding RNA. RefSeq lists it as uncharacterized. Lineage: Eukaryota; Metazoa; Cnidaria; Anthozoa; Malacalcyonacea; Xeniidae. The record is from RefSeq and is a predicted model, not a curated record. The transcript is spliced from 4 exons.